Molecule: ribosomal RNA, 732 nt
Filed under: Micrococcus sp. NBF9
Lineage: Bacteria; Bacillati; Actinomycetota; Actinomycetes; Micrococcales; Micrococcaceae
Description: bacterial SSU rRNA
Rfam family: Bacterial small subunit ribosomal RNA
Source: RNAcentral
GGUAGACGCUGGCGGCGUGCUUACACAUGCAAGUCGAACGAUGAAGCCCAGCUUGCUGGGUGGAUUAGUGGCGAACGGGUGAGUAACACGUGAGUAACCUGCCCUUAACUCUGGGAUAAGCCUGGGAAACUGGGUCUAAUACCGGAUAGGAGCGCCUACCGCAUGGUGGGUGUUGGAAAGAUUUAUCGGUUUUGGAUGGACUCGCUGGCCUAUCAGCUUGUUGGUGAGGUAAUGGCUCACCAAGGCGACGACGGGUAGCCGGCCUGAGAGGGUGACCGGCCACACUGGGACUGAGACACGGCCCAGACUCCUACGGGAGGCAGCAGUGGGGAAUAUUUGCACAAUGGGCGAAAGCCUGAUGCAGCGACGCCGCGUGAGGGAUGACGGCCUUCGGGGUUGUAAACCUCUUUCAGUAGGGAAGAAGCGAAAGUGCCGGUACCUGCAGAAGAAGCACCGGCUAACUACGUGCCAGCAGCCAGCGGUAAUACGUAGGGUGCGAGCGUUAUCCGGAAUUAUUGGGCGUAAAGAGCUCGUAGGCGGUUUGUCGCGUCUGUCGUGAAAGUCCGGGGCUUAACCCCGGAUACUGCGGUGGGUACGGGCAGACUAGAGUGCAGUAGGGGAGACUGGAAUUCCUGGUGUAGCGGUGGAAUGCGCAGAUAUCAGGAGGAACACCGAGGCGAAGGCAGGUCUCUGGGCUGUACUGACGCUGAGGAGCGAAAGCAUGGGACGACA